This 558-nucleotide ribosomal RNA is filed under the name Triticum aestivum (bread wheat). Its description in RNAcentral is "partial small subunit ribosomal RNA". Lineage: Eukaryota; Viridiplantae; Streptophyta; Magnoliopsida; Poales; Poaceae. The record is from RNAcentral.
AUGUGUGUGCCAAAAGACAGGGGAGGAAUGGGUCUUCGAUCGAGAAAUAGUUUCAACUUAGCUAUGCUCGCAAAGCAAUGUUGGAGACUGAUUGAAACUUAUGAUUCUCUCUGUGCGAGGGUUUUGAGAUCAAGAUACUAUCCCUCAGGUGAUAUACUAAAUUGUGAACUGAAGAAGGGCUCAUCCUAUGUCUGGCAGAGUAUACGGGUGAGAGUUCAAACGUUCAAGAAGGGAAGUAUAUGGAGAGUUGGAGUUGGAGCGAAGAUAAAUAUUUGGGAAGACUGUUGGAUCCCGAAUAGCACGUCAAGGAAAGUAGUGAAAGUACGUGGUAACCAAGUUCUCACAAGAGUUAACGAACCAAUUGACCCAAUAUCCAGGGAAUGGGACGAAGUGCUUAUACGUGAAAACUUCUGGCCUAUAGAUGCUGACCGCAUUCUCCUAAUACCUAAUUCAUCAUCAGGAGACAGAAGAUUAUGUAGCAUGGCACUUAACGAAGAACGGCGUCUUUACGGUUCGAUUGGCAUAUUACAAACAGUGGGAAGAGUAUUAUGCAUCUGA